UGGGUCACCAGGUCAUCGGGUCA
RNAcentral lists this non-coding RNA (23 nucleotides) under Arabidopsis thaliana (thale cress). Lineage: Eukaryota; Viridiplantae; Streptophyta; Magnoliopsida; Brassicales; Brassicaceae. The record is from RNAcentral.